This 460-nucleotide ribosomal RNA is filed under the name uncultured bacterium. RNAcentral describes it as "partial 16S ribosomal RNA". It matches the Rfam family "Bacterial small subunit ribosomal RNA", at positions 338 to 795 of the family's 1533-position model. The record is from RNAcentral.
CCUACGGGCGGCAGCAGUGAGGAAUAUUGGUCAAUGGUCGGGAGCCUGAACCAGCCAAGCCGCGUGAGGGAUGAAGGUCCAGAGUAUCGUAAACCUCUUUUGUCAGGGAACAAAGUCGGGGACGUGUCCCCCGUUGCGUGUACCUUACGAAAAAGCAUCGGCUAACUCCGUGCCAGCAGCCGCGGUAAUACGGAGGAUGCGAGGGUUAUCCGGAUUUAUUGGGUUUAAAGGGGGCGCAGGCGGGCUGUUAAGUCAGCGGUUAAAGGCCGGGGCUCAACCCCGGCCCCGCAGUUGAAACUGGCAGUCUCGAGUUGGAGAGAGGUAGGCGGAAUGCGCGGUGUAGCGGUGAAAUGCAUAGAUAUCGCGAAGAACUCCGAUUGCGAAGGCAGCAUGCCGGAUCGAAACUGACGCUGAGGCACGAAAGCGUGGGUAUCGAACAGGAUUAGAUACCCUUGUAGUC